CGGGAAGUGACAUCAUAUUGGAGGGAACGUAACAGGGCAAACAUUUAUCUGGCACAGUGAGUAGGAGGAUUUUGAUAAAGACGUUGGCACAAAGACAAAGCCUCAGGUGCAGUCACCUCUGACAGUCUGAUCACCUCUACCAGCCAUCUGUGAAAAAUGGGUUGGCCAACCUCUCUCAUGACAGUAUAAUGUGGACCUGUCUGUGCUUGACAGCACGGCAAAGAUCAAACGACAUUCUGGAAGAUCAAGAGCAAUUCAUCACUGUCAUACUUCCGGACGUCUUCCCAAAAGCCCGACCUCUUUUGUGUUUUUAUCUGCGACGAACGUGCAAAGUGAGCAUCGAGAACAAUGUAAUGGGUGUCAACCGGUGGCGAUGCCCGAGUUCAGUCUGUGCUCAGCAUCAAUUAUUGCUCCAGCAUCGUGAUCCUCUCCGGAGUCAGCAGCGUCUACUGGACCGAUCUUUGAUCAUCUCACUACACAGAAUUAUCAUAGGUGUGUAAAACUAUUCAAAAUGUGAUUUUAUUUUAAACACUAGAUGUUGCAGCAAAAGCACUUUGAUGUGGGAUCCACAUUAAAAUACUAUAAAAUAACUAUAGUUGUUUGCUUUGAAGAUAUCGUAGGGACACAGUAUGUUCACCAUCUUAUUUGUCCAAGCGAUAAUACUUUUCAAAUUGCUGUUGGUUUUAUGUGACUGUAAACGGUGUAAAUAAUGGCUGUUUUAUAGCGCUGCAUCAGUCCACAGUGCAGUUGUUCCUCUGAAUUACCUCGUGAAUGAUUUAUGUCUGCCAGUGCGGCCCUCAACGACUGAGGGCCGAGGGCCAAUAAAUGUGUUUUCAUAGGUAAACACGCCAUAUUAAAUACCUGCUUACUGGGGCAUUUCAGCUACACGAAGAACAUUUGGUCUCAUUUCACUUGUCAAACAUAAGAGUGUCACAACUACUCCAGACAACACAAACCAUUUACCACAGUUAAACACAGCCAAGCACGGCAGAAGAACACUAAGCAAACACAGACAUGGAAACAGGCCUGAAUCGAGCUGAAAAGAUACUUUACUAAUGGAUUCAGUAGCUUUAAAGUAUUUAUUUGCUGACUGGUACAUGGUAUGGGAUGGCCAAUUGAUCUGUAGGUAAAGACAAUUUUAAAGAGGUUUGUGUAGUACUUAUAGGCCAUUCCACCGAAUCAGUGCCAAUGCCUCAGGACAUUAUAUGUAUUAAAAUGCAUUUUAUUAUUAACCAAAGUGUCCUGUAUGUUAAACACCAAAUUUAAACUAUAUUUCAAACAUUUUUAAAAACAUCCUGACUACCCCUUUUGCUCAAAAUUUCGAAGUCAGGAGCGAUGAUGGUA
Molecule: long non-coding RNA, 1344 nt
Organism: Paramisgurnus dabryanus
Lineage: Eukaryota; Metazoa; Chordata; Actinopteri; Cypriniformes; Cobitidae
Source: RefSeq, a predicted model, not a curated record